RNAcentral lists this unclassified non-coding RNA (344 nucleotides) under soil metagenome. RNAcentral describes it as "partial contains 5.8S ribosomal RNA, internal transcribed spacer 2, and large subunit ribosomal RNA". The stretch from base 1 to 119 matches the Rfam family "5.8S ribosomal RNA", at positions 35 to 154 of the family's 154-position model. The record is from RNAcentral.
GAUGAAGAACGUAGCGAAAUGCGAUACGUAAUGUGAAUUGCAAAUUCAGUGAAUCAUCGAGUCUUUGAACGCACAUUGCGCCCCCUGGUAUUCCGGGGGGCAUGCCUGUCCGAGCGUCAUUGCUGCCCUCAAGCACGGCUUGUGUGUUGGGCCCCGUCCUCCGAUUCCGGGGGACGGGCCCGAAAGGCAGCGGCGGCACCGCGUCCGGUCCUCGAGCGUAUGGGGCUUUGUCACCCGCUCUGUAGGCCCGGCCGGCGCUUGCCGAUCAACCCAAAUUUUUAUCCAGGUUGACCUCGGAUCAGGUAGGGAUACCGCUGAACUUAAGCAUAUCAAUAAGCGGAGGA